GAUGAACGCUGGCGGCGUGCCUAAUACAUGCAAGUCGAGCGAACAGACGAGGAGCUUGCUCCUCUGACGUUAGCGGCGGACGGGUGAGUAACACGUGGAUAACCUACCUAUAAGACUGGGAUAACUUCGGGAAACCGGAGCUAAUACCGGAUAAUAUAUUGAACCGCAUGGUUCAAUAGUGAAAGACGGUUUUGCUGUCACUUAUAGAUGGAUCCGCGCUGCAUUAGCUAGUUGGUAAGGUAACGGCUUACCAAGGCAACGAUGCGUAGCCGACCUGAGAGGGUGAUCGGACAAACUGGAACUGAAACACGGUCCAGACUCCUACGGGAGGAAGCAGUAGGGAAUCUUCCGCAAUGGGCGAGAGCCUGACGGAGCAACGCCGCGUGAGUGAUGAAGGACUUCGGAUCGUAAAACUCUGUUAUUAGGGAAGAACAAAUGUGUAAGUAACUGUGCACGUCUUGACGGUACCUAAUCAGAAAGCCACGGCUAACUACGUG
This 497-nucleotide ribosomal RNA is filed under the name uncultured bacterium. RNAcentral's name for it is "partial 16S ribosomal RNA". It matches the Rfam family "Bacterial small subunit ribosomal RNA", at positions 28 to 507 of the family's 1533-position model. The record is from RNAcentral.